ACGGAGGGUGCAAGCGUUACUCGGAAUCACUGGGCGUAAAGGACGCGUAGGCGGGUUGGUAAGUCAGAUGUGAAAUCCUACAGCUUAACUGUAGAACUGCAUUUGAAACUACUAACCUAGAGUAUGGGAGGGGGAGAUGGAAUUAGUGGUGUAGGGGUAAAAUCCGUAGAUAUCACUAGGAAUACCCAAAGCGAAGGCGAUCUCCUGGAACAUUACUGACGCUAAGGCGUGAAAGCGUGGGGAGCAAACGGG
Molecule: ribosomal RNA, 252 nt
Filed under: uncultured bacterium
Lineage: Bacteria
Description: partial 16S ribosomal RNA
Rfam family: Bacterial small subunit ribosomal RNA
Source: RNAcentral